This 71-nucleotide transfer RNA is filed under the name Toxocara canis (dog roundworm). It matches the Rfam family "tRNA". Rfam says of the family: Transfer RNA (tRNA) molecules are approximately 80 nucleotides in length. Their secondary structure includes four short double-helical elements and three loops (D, anti-codon, and T loops). The record is from Rfam by way of RNAcentral. Lineage: Eukaryota; Metazoa; Nematoda; Chromadorea; Rhabditida; Toxocaridae.
GCGGCAGUAGCUCAGUCGUAGAGCCCCGCUUCCCAUGCCAGGAGACCUGGGUUCGAUUCCCGGUUGCUCCC